This 254-nucleotide ribosomal RNA is filed under the name uncultured bacterium. Its description in RNAcentral is "partial 16S ribosomal RNA". It matches the Rfam family "Bacterial small subunit ribosomal RNA", at positions 524 to 776 of the family's 1533-position model. The record is from RNAcentral.
UACGGGGGGAGCAAGCGUUGUUCGGAUUUACUGGGCGUAAAGGGCGCGUAGGCGGUCAGCACAAGUCAGUUGUGAAAUCUCCGAGCUUAACUCGGAAAGGUCAACUGAAACUGUGCGACUAGAGUGCGGAAGGGGCAACUGGAAUUCUUGGUGUAGCGGUGAAAUGCGUAGAUAUCGUAAGGAAGACCAGUGGCGAAGGCGGGUCUCUGGACAGUUCCUGACGCUGAGGCACGAAGGCCAGGGGAGCAAACGGG